Molecule: ribosomal RNA, 254 nt
Filed under: uncultured bacterium
Lineage: Bacteria
Description: partial 16S ribosomal RNA
Rfam family: Bacterial small subunit ribosomal RNA
Source: RNAcentral
UACGUAGGGUCCGAGCGUUGUCCGGAAUUACUGGGCGUAAAGAGCUCGUAGGUGGUUUUGUCGCGUUGUUCGUGAAAACUCACAGCUUAACUGUGGGCGUGCGGGCGAUACGGGCAGACUUGAGUACUGCAGGGGAGACUGGAAUUCCUGGUGUAGCGGUGGAAUGCGCAGAUAUCAGGAGGAACACCGGUGGCGAAGGCAGGUCUCUGGGCAUUAACUGACGCUGAGGAGCGAAAGCAUGGGGAGCGAACAGG